CAGCGGCCGCGCGGCCGACGACGUGACCACCGCUUGUGCGACGUGUGCGCGCGCGCGCCGUCGGUCCGCCUCGGAGGAGCCACUUAUAUCUGUGAGUUUAUAUAUAUGGGUGUGUGUGUGUGUGUGUGUGUGUGUGUGUGUGUGGUGUGUGUGUGUGUGUGUGUGUGUGUGUGUAAUGAUAUUAUUCGGUUUCUGUCGAUGAGAGAAACGGGAAAAAUCAAGAGGGGCGCGAGCCGGGAAAACGAGGAGAAAAACCGACGCCGUCGUCGACGAGACGGACUGUCAUCGUCCGGGGACGCGCGUGUGCGCUUUUACGCUCGCCGCAAAAACCUUUGAUCGCGAUCGUCUAUGUAUAUAUAUAUAAUGCGUAGCGGAACUCGUAUAUAUAUAUAUGUAGUGUGCAGAGUUCCGGUGUAUAUAUACAUAUACAAGUUUCGACUCUGAUCGUUGUAUGGUCUUGUUAGCACCGUUAUGAACAUUUUACCCGAUUCUCAUCACCGAAAUCUGAAUGCUUCUUAACGUCGUAAGGAUUUAUUACUCUACAAUAGCCAGCGGAUUUGAUUGACUUACGAUGAGACGCAUAAAAAGACUACGUCGAAGUCAUUACCAUAAGCCUGGAAGUGGUUCGGAGGUAGAGAGUACUGAAACAAUUAUAUUUUAAUGCACAGGAAGUUUACAAUUGUAAUUUUGUUUUGCGUAAGUAAAAAACAAAACAAAAAUAAAACUUUUAAAUAUAACGUUGACUUUUGAAUAAAUUAUAUUUUAUUAUCUCAAAAUCAAAUUGUGCGUUGCUUUAUUGUCGAUAAUCUAAAAAGGUUUAUUAUCUCUGUAUACGAUUCAAUUUGUUUUUUUACCAUUGAUUAUUAAUUUUAUUUAGUACUAUAUAAUAUUAUUAAAUCUAUAAUCAACUUUUUUACGUGCAGCGCCGUGAACUAAAAUCGACGUAUGCAUGCCCAUUGAAUUGCCUAAUCAGUGUUCUAUAAGGUGUAAAGAUGUUUAAGGAUUUAUACUGAAAAAAAAUUCGUAAUCCAAUUGCGUCAAAUUGUCUAAUGGUUUUUAGUGUUGGGUUUCUACUGCACUAAAAAAUAAUAAUAACAAAAAAAUUGUACACAUAAUUACAGUGAAAACAAUCAUCGAUCCAAAGGCUGCCUUUUGACCGUUAAGCGUUGAUAUUUUUUGUUGGCAUUGAUCGACAGGUCUAAUUUGGGAUCGGUGUCGACACGUCGCGUAUCGAAGAAUUUUUUUCUGUUUGUUGCUAGUUCUAUACGAUCGCUUCCUCAUAGCAUGUAAUUAAAUAGUUUGAUCAAAUAAAAUAAAAAAGUUUCGAAACAGACGAUAACAGACCUACGAGUACCUACGUAUUAUACAAGGUCAUAAAAACCAAUCGAUCUUUAGGUACCAUUUUUGAAUCAAUUUUUCUUUAAAUAAACACUUCUAUUACAUUGCAUAUUCAACAAAUCAUUAUUUUUGUUUUAAUUUUUAAACUUAUUUAUACUGUCCAAAAUUGUUGCGUUUUUCAAAUUGCUUUGUUUCACAGUCUUCCAAUACCAUUCAUUAUAGAAUUAUAGAAUUAUUCUGCAAUCAACGAUAGUGUCUUGUAGUAUUAAUACCAUCACAUUAAUAAUAAUCAAUGUUAAUAAAUCUUAUAUCAACUGACAUAAAAUAAAUAAUGUAUUAUGCAUU
Aphis gossypii (cotton aphid) is the source of this 1683-nucleotide long non-coding RNA. RefSeq lists it as uncharacterized. The transcript has 3 exons. The record is from RefSeq and is a predicted model, not a curated record. Lineage: Eukaryota; Metazoa; Arthropoda; Insecta; Hemiptera; Aphididae.